This 355-nucleotide ribosomal RNA is filed under the name Tryblionella compressa. RNAcentral's name for it is "partial Bacterial large subunit ribosomal RNA". It matches the Rfam family "Bacterial large subunit ribosomal RNA", at positions 2556 to 2912 of the family's 2925-position model. Lineage: Eukaryota; Bacillariophyta; Bacillariophyceae; Bacillariales; Bacillariaceae. The record is from RNAcentral.
UAGUCGGUCCCAAGGGUUGGGCUGUUCGCCCAUUAAAGCGGCACGCGAGCUGGGUUUAGAACGUCGUGAGACAGUUCGGUCCCUAUCCGCUGCGUGCGUAGGAAAUUUGUGGAGGUCUGUCCUUAGUACGAGAGGACCGGGAUGGACAUACCUCUGGUGUACCAGUUGUCGUGCCAACGGCAUAGCUGGGUAGCUAUGUAUGGACGGGAUAAGUGCUGAAAGCAUCUAAGCAUGAAGCCCCCCUCAAGAUGAGAUUUCCCAACUUCGGUUAUAAGAUCCCUCAAAGAUGAUGAGGUUAAUAGGUUCGAGGUGGAAGCAUAGCGAUAUGUGGAGCUGACGAAUACUAAUCGAUCGA